GUGAGGAAUAUUGGUCAAUGGGCGAGAGCCUGAACCAGCCAAGUCGCGUGAAGGAAGAAGGAUCUAUGGUUCGUAAACUUCUUUUGCAGGGGAAUAAAGUGCAGGACGUGUCCUGUUUUGUAUGUACCCUGAGAAUAAGGAUCGGCUAACUCCGUGCCAGCAGCCGCGGUAAUACGGAGGAUCCGAGCGUUAUCCGGAUUUAUUGGGUUUAAAGGGUGCGUAGGUGGUUUGAUAAGUCAGCGGUGAAAGUUUGCAGCUUAACUGUAAAAAUGCCGUGGAAACUGUCGGACUUGAGUGUAAAUGAGGUAGGCGGAAUGCGUGGUGUAGCGGUGAAAUGCAUAGAUAUCACGCAGAACUCCGAUUGCGAAGGCAGCUUACUAAGCUACAACUGACACUGAAGCACGAAAGCGUGGGGAUCAAACAGGAUUAGAAACCCGUGUAGUCC
Molecule: ribosomal RNA, 445 nt
Filed under: uncultured bacterium
Lineage: Bacteria
Description: partial 16S ribosomal RNA
Rfam family: Bacterial small subunit ribosomal RNA
Source: RNAcentral